CGCGAGGAAGACGAGGGCGAUCUGCCGGCUAGCCGGAAAUCGGAGAUCACAUCGAACCAGCGGAGACGACGAUGAGCGGAAGCGGCGCGAAGAAGGCGGUGGAGGUGGCGGCGAAGGCCGCCAAGGGGCUCGACUGGGACGCGAUGGCGAAGGUCUUCGUCACCGACGAGGCCCGCAAGGAGUUCGCCAACCUCCGCCGCGCCUUCAACGAGGUCAAUACCCAGCUCCAGACCAAGUUCAGCCAGGAGCCUGAG
Molecule: unclassified non-coding RNA, 254 nt
Filed under: Hevea brasiliensis (rubber tree)
Lineage: Eukaryota; Viridiplantae; Streptophyta; Magnoliopsida; Malpighiales; Euphorbiaceae
Source: RNAcentral